GGCUCUGUCUCUGCUUUUUCCAGCUGGAUCAGAACAUAACCCAGGGAAGCCUCCUGGAUCUGGCCACAAAGCUGGAGCAGCUGGCAGACAAAGCGGACGUGGAUGUGAAAGAAAAACUGAAGGCUGAUGCUCGCAGUCUGAGGGAGCUGGACAAGGAGAUGCAGAAGAGCUUCUCUGGGCUGCUGCAAAGCCUGAAGGAGAACAUCCACUUGGUGCAGAGCGGGGCUGCCCUGCUCGAGGUAAGUGGCACAGGGGGGGACCUCGUGAGCGCACCCCACUCAGGAGCACUCUACAAAGUGCCCUUGAGGUCCUGUGGUGGGGGCCAACCUACAGUCUGGGGGGCCUGUGGCUGCUGUGGGACUCCCCAGUCAUCCCCAUGGGGCAGAGACAGGGGGGCCCAUGCCACAGACCCUGCCAGGCGCAGGCUCCCUCCACCCCAGGCACCAUGCCAGCGUGGGAUGGGCGCUGGGGUCAAGUCCCCCCGCCACACU
Molecule: long non-coding RNA, 491 nt
Filed under: Calidris pygmaea (Spoon-billed sandpiper)
Lineage: Eukaryota; Metazoa; Chordata; Aves; Charadriiformes; Scolopacidae
Description: lncRNA (ENSCPGG00000005583.1)
Source: RNAcentral